Dermacentor andersoni is the source of this 306-nucleotide long non-coding RNA. RefSeq lists it as uncharacterized. The record is from RefSeq and is a predicted model, not a curated record. Lineage: Eukaryota; Metazoa; Arthropoda; Arachnida; Ixodida; Ixodidae.
AGCCUGAUUACGCCCACUGCAGGGCAAAGGCCUCUCCCAUACUUCUCCAACUACCCCGGUCCUCCUUUCUGACUCCUAACUAGCCCUCCUUUACUGACGACAAUUGACUAGACCUGAGUGGAUGUCAGAAUACAUGAAAUCAUGAAACAAGAGGAAAUCCCAUUUGCUUGGUCCAGCUUUCCAUGAUACUAGUUAUGCUCAAGCCCUAAAUAACAAAUAUUUCUGGAUACAGAAGGCAAAAAAUUAGCUUACUGUUCAGCAUGACAUGCAGGUAGGUACAGAGGAGCUUAGAGGCAGAGGAAGGUU